Molecule: ribosomal RNA, 253 nt
Filed under: uncultured bacterium
Lineage: Bacteria
Description: partial 16S ribosomal RNA
Rfam family: Bacterial small subunit ribosomal RNA
Source: RNAcentral
UACGGGGGGGGCAAGCGUUGUUCGGAAUUACUGGGCGUAAAGGGCUCGUAGGCGGCCAACUAAGUCAGACGUGAAAUCCCUCGGCUUAACCGGGGAACUGCGUCUGAUACUGGAUGGCUCGAGUUUGGGAGAGGGAUGCGGAAUUCCAGGUGUAGCGGUGAAAUGCGUAGAUAUCUGGAGGAACACCGGUGGCGAAGGCGGCAUCCUGGACCAAUACUGACGCUGAAUAGCGAAAGCCAGGGGAGCAAACGGG